This 482-nucleotide ribosomal RNA is filed under the name uncultured bacterium. RNAcentral's name for it is "partial 16S ribosomal RNA". It matches the Rfam family "Bacterial small subunit ribosomal RNA", at positions 30 to 507 of the family's 1533-position model. The record is from RNAcentral.
AUUGAACGCUGGCGGCAUGCUUUAUACAUGCAAGUCGAACGGUAACAGGCCGCAAGGUGCUGACGAGUGGCGAACGGGUGAGUAAUGCAUCGGAACGUGCCCAGUCGUGGGGGAUAACUACUCGAAAGAGUAGCUAAUACCGCAUACGAUCUAUGGAUGAAAGCGGGGGACCGUAAGGCCUCGCGCGAUUGGAGCGGCCGAUGUCAGAUUAGGUAGUUGGUGGGGUAAAGGCUCACCAAGCCAACGAUCUGUAGCUGGUCUGAGAGGACGACCAGCCACACUGGGACUGAGACACGGCCCAGACUCCUACGGGAGGCAGCAGUGGGGAAUUUUGGACAAUGGGCGGAAGCCUGAUCCAGCAAUGCCGCGUGCAGGAAGAAGGCCUUCGGGUUGUAAACUGCUUUUGUACGGAACGAAACGGCUCUGGUUAAUACCCGGGGCUAAUGACGGUACCGUAAGAAUAAGCACCGGCUAACUACGUG